GACGAACGCUGGCGGCGUGCUUAACACAUGCAGGUCGAACGGAAAGGCCCUGCUUUUUUGGUGUGCUCGAGUGGCGAACGGGUGAGUAACACGUGAGUAACCUGCCCUUGACUUUGGGAUAACUUCAGGAAACUGGGGCUAAUACCGGAUAGGAGCUCCUUCUGCAUGGGGGGGUUUGGAAAGUUUCGGCGGUUGGGGAUGGACUCGCGGCUUAUCAGCUUGUUGGUGGGGUAGUGGCUUACCAAGGCUUUGACGGGUAGCCGGCCUGAGAGGGUGACCGGCCACACUGGGACUGAGACACGGCCCAGACUCCUACGGGAGGCAGCAGUGGGGAAUAUUGCACAAUGGGCGAAAGCCUGAUGCAGCAACGCCGCGUGAGGGAUGACGGCCUUCGGGUUGUAAACCGCUUUCGCCAGUGAAGAAGCGAAAGUGACGGUACCGGGAAAAGAAGCACCGGCUAACUACGUG
Molecule: ribosomal RNA, 468 nt
Filed under: uncultured bacterium
Lineage: Bacteria
Description: partial 16S ribosomal RNA
Rfam family: Bacterial small subunit ribosomal RNA
Source: RNAcentral